Molecule: transfer RNA, 73 nt
Filed under: Ailuropoda melanoleuca (giant panda)
Lineage: Eukaryota; Metazoa; Chordata; Mammalia; Carnivora; Ursidae
Rfam family: tRNA
About the family: Transfer RNA (tRNA) molecules are approximately 80 nucleotides in length. Their secondary structure includes four short double-helical elements and three loops (D, anti-codon, and T loops).
Source: Rfam by way of RNAcentral
GCCUGGCUUGCUCAGUCGGUAGAGCAUGUGACUCUUGAUCUCAAGGUCGUGAGUUCAAGCCCCAUGCUGGCUG